This 546-nucleotide ribosomal RNA is filed under the name uncultured Glomeromycotina. RNAcentral's name for it is "SSU rRNA". It matches the Rfam family "Eukaryotic small subunit ribosomal RNA", at positions 548 to 1098 of the family's 1831-position model. Lineage: Eukaryota; Fungi; Glomeromycota. The record is from RNAcentral.
UUGGAGGGCAAGUCUGGUGCCAGCAGCCGCGGUAAUUCCAGCUCCAAUAGCGUAUAUUAAAGUUGUUGCAGUUAAAAAGCUCGUAGUUGAAUUUCGGGAUUAGUACGUUGGUCGUGUCUUCGGUACGUACUGGUGUUACUGAUUCCUACCUUCUGACGAACCAUCAUGUCAUUAAUUUGGUGUGGCGGGGAAUCAGGACUGUUACUUUGAAAAAAUUAGAGUGUUUAAAGCAGGCUCGCGCUUGAAUACAUUAGCAUGGAAUAAUGAAAUAGGACGUUGAUCCUAUUUUGUUGGUUUCUAGGAUUGACGUAAUGAUUAAUAGGGAUAGUUGGGGGCAUUAGUAUUCAAUUGUCAGAGGUGAAAUUCUUGGAUUUAUUGAAGACUAACUACUGCGAAAGCAUUUGCCAAGGAUGUUUUCAUUAAUCAAGAACGAAAGUUAGGGGAUCGAAGACGAUCAGAUACCGUCGUAGUCUUAACCAUAAACUAUGCCGACUAGGGAUCGGAUGAUGUUAUUUUUAAUGACUCAUUCGGCGCCUUACGGGAAAC